UACGAGGGGGGCAAGCGUUGUUCGGAAUUAUUGGGCGUAAAGGGCGCGUAGGCGGUUUGACAAGUCUGAUGUGAAAUCUAUGGGCUCAACCCAUAGCCUGCAUUAGAAACUGCCGGGCUUGAGUAUGGGAGAGGUGAGUGGAAUUUCCGGUGUAGCGGUGAAAUGCGUAGAUAUCGGAAGGAACACCUGUGGCGAAAGCGGCUCACUGGACCAUAACUGACGCUGAGGCGCGAAAGCUAGGGGAGCAAACAGG
This 253-nucleotide ribosomal RNA is filed under the name uncultured bacterium. Its description in RNAcentral is "partial 16S ribosomal RNA". It matches the Rfam family "Bacterial small subunit ribosomal RNA", at positions 524 to 776 of the family's 1533-position model. The record is from RNAcentral.